Molecule: long non-coding RNA, 430 nt
Filed under: Pandoravirus salinus
Description: putative ncRNA
Source: RNAcentral
GGACGUCGGCGAGAGCACGCGACGCGGCGUUGGGUUCGCGCACCAGAAAGGCAUUGGUGCGCUUGCGGCGCGCGCGUAUGGAGGAGGCUGCCGUCGUCCGCAGAGUCGAGGAUCGCAUGGUCCGUUCCGUCCCGCGCGCCGUGAGCGUCGCAGCAGACGCAACAGUCUUGGGGUCGCGGCGAAUGGGCAGAGGUAGAGAGGCCGAGCGGGACCGACGGCGCAGAGCGCAUCCCACGCAGUUGAUUUCGAUAGAGACGGAUGAAGGCAUGCUGCACGUGCGCAGGAGGAGAGAUAGAUAAUCGCUGCGGGGACGAGUCGAGCAGAGGUGUGGUGCACUAAAAACAGAAAGCACGGCAGAUCGAGCGCCUUUUUGACGCCAGCCGCGGCCGGGCGUAAACCGCCCUCGUCCAAUAAACAACUUGUAUCUUUU